RNAcentral lists this ribosomal RNA (550 nucleotides) under uncultured Eurotiomycetes. RNAcentral describes it as "SSU rRNA". It matches the Rfam family "Eukaryotic small subunit ribosomal RNA", at positions 200 to 755 of the family's 1831-position model. Lineage: Eukaryota; Fungi; Ascomycota; Eurotiomycetes. The record is from RNAcentral.
GGUGUAUUUAUUAGAUAAAAAACCAAUGCCCUUCGGGGCUCCUUGGUGAUUCAUAAUAACUUAACGAAUCGCAUGGCCUUGCGCCGGCGAUGGUUCAUUCAAAUUUCUGCCCUAUCAACUUUCGAUGGUAGGAUAGUGGCCUACCAUGGUGGCAACGGGUAACGGGAAUUAGGGUUCGAUUCCGGAGAGGGAGCCUGAGAAACGGCUACCACAUCCAAGGAAGGCAGCAGGCGCGCAAAUUACCCAAUCCCGAUCCGGGGAGGUAGUGACAAUAAAUACUGAUAUAGGGCUCUUUUGGGUCUUAUAAUUGGAAUGAGUACAAUCUAAAUCCCUUAACGAGGAACAAUUGGAGGGCAAGUCUGGUGCCAGCAGCCGCGGUAAUUCCAGCUCCAAUAGCGUAUAUUAAAGUUGUUGCAGUUAAAAAGCUCGUAGUUGAACCUUGGGCCCGUCCUGCCGGUCCGCCUCACCGCGAGUACUGGUCCGGAUGGGCCUUUCUUUCUGGGGAAUCCCAUGGCCUUCACUGGCUGUGGCGGGGAACCAGGACUUUUAC